ACCAUCCUUUUCUUGGGGUAGCGCUACUGUCCAAUGAACGAAUAGUGAGGACAGGUACUGGCUAACGCCUACACAAACCACCCGCAUCAACUAGAGCUUUGCUUUACUUUGGUGGCAAUUUUUGGAAAA
RNAcentral lists this non-coding RNA (129 nucleotides) under Microcebus murinus (gray mouse lemur). RNAcentral describes it as "U4atac minor spliceosomal RNA (ENSMICG00000031163.2)". It matches the Rfam family "U4atac minor spliceosomal RNA". From Rfam's summary of the family: U4atac is an essential component of the minor U12-type spliceosome complex which is required for removal of the rarer class of eukaryotic introns (AT-AC, U12-type). These interacting stem loops have been shown to be required for in vivo splicing. U4atac also contains an 3' Sm protein binding site which has been shown to be essential for splicing activity. Lineage: Eukaryota; Metazoa; Chordata; Mammalia; Primates; Cheirogaleidae. The record is from Rfam by way of RNAcentral.